GAUGAACGCUAGCGGCAGGCUUAACACAUGCAAGUCGAGGGGCAGCAUAGAGGUUAGCAAUAACUUCUGAUGGCGACCGGCGCAAGGGUGCGUAACGCGUAAGCAACUUGCCCUUAUCAGGGGGAUAACCAAUGGAAACGUUGACUAAUACCCCAUAGUAUAACAUCAAGGCAUCUUUUGUUAUUAAAGAAUUUCGGAUAAGGAUAGGCCCGCGUGACAUUAGCUAGAUGGCGGGGUAACGGCCCACCAUGGCGACGAUGUCUAGGGGUUCUGAGAGGAAGGUCCCCCACACUGGAACUGAGACACGGUCCAA
RNAcentral lists this ribosomal RNA (313 nucleotides) under uncultured bacterium. RNAcentral's name for it is "bacterial SSU rRNA". It matches the Rfam family "Bacterial small subunit ribosomal RNA", at positions 28 to 334 of the family's 1533-position model. The record is from RNAcentral.